This 76-nucleotide transfer RNA is filed under the name Bacillota bacterium. RNAcentral's name for it is "tRNA-Lys". It matches the Rfam family "tRNA". From Rfam's summary of the family: Transfer RNA (tRNA) molecules are approximately 80 nucleotides in length. Their secondary structure includes four short double-helical elements and three loops (D, anti-codon, and T loops). The record is from RNAcentral. Lineage: Bacteria; Bacillati; Bacillota.
GGGCCAUUAGCUCAGUUGGUAGAGCACCGGACUUUUAAUCCGGGUGUCCCGGGUUCGAGUCCCGGAUGGCUCACCA